RNAcentral lists this ribosomal RNA (253 nucleotides) under uncultured microorganism. Its description in RNAcentral is "partial 16S ribosomal RNA". It matches the Rfam family "Bacterial small subunit ribosomal RNA", at positions 9 to 248 of the family's 1533-position model. The record is from RNAcentral.
GAGUUUGAUCGUGGCUCAGGAUGAACGCUGGCGGCGUGCCUAAUACAUGCAAGUCGAGCGAACGGACGAGAAGCUUUGCUUCUCUGAUGUUAGCGGCGGACGGGUGGGUAACACGUGGGUAACCUACCUAUAAGACUGGGGAUAACUCCGGGAAACCGGGGCUAAUACCGGAUAACACAUGAAACCGCAUGGUUUCAUGAUGAAAGACGGUCUUGCUUGUCACUUAUAGAUGGAUCCGCGCUGCAUUAGCUAG